Molecule: unclassified non-coding RNA, 319 nt
Filed under: uncultured fungus
Lineage: Eukaryota; Fungi
Description: partial contains small subunit ribosomal RNA, internal transcribed spacer 1, and 5.8S ribosomal RNA
Rfam family: Eukaryotic small subunit ribosomal RNA (bases 1-73)
Source: RNAcentral
GCAAACUUGGUCAUUUAGAGGAAGUAAAAGUCGUAACAAGGUAACCGUAGGUGAACCUGCGGUUGGAUCAUUAUUGAAAACUUUACUGGUUGUGGGAAGCAAUUCCUACACCAAUACCCCAAAACAAUGCGCGAGUGUGUUGUGCUUUUUAGGACGCACACUCGCUGUUAACUCAAAGGAUAGUCGAGCACUCGCUCAGCUACCCUUACACCUAGAUUCACCUUUUUAAAAUUUACUUUUUUCAACAUCCGCAAGGAUCAGAAAAAAAACAACUUUUGACAAUGGAUCUCUAGGCUCUCGCAUCGAUGAAGAACGCAGC